Long non-coding RNA from Etheostoma spectabile (orangethroat darter), 892 nucleotides. RefSeq lists it as uncharacterized. The transcript is spliced from 3 exons. The record is from RefSeq and is a predicted model, not a curated record. Lineage: Eukaryota; Metazoa; Chordata; Actinopteri; Perciformes; Percidae.
CGUGUGGCCGGUGUUUGGAGUUUCUGAAAGACGCGGACCAGACGGAAACACCGGACAUACUGCAUCAUUGCGUUCAGUAUUUCAACGAGGGCCAUUCCUACGAUGUAAUUGUGGACAUGAUGUCAAGCCUACACGGUGUAAACAUCAGCUUGAGGACUCUUAAAAGUAAACUGAACGAAGCCGGGUUGUACCGCCGAAAGGAUUAUUCCUCUCCAAACACCGUGAGUAACGCCAUCAGAUUGGAACUUCGUGGACCUGGACAACUAUUUGGCUACCGCACGAUGUGGCAGGUCUCAGUUCUGGAUGGAGUUAUUUACGGACCUUAGAGAUGCCGGAUACUUUAACGGGAGUCAUGAGCAUCAGUGUCUCUUGAGAUACUGCUUCGGUGAGGUUAUUCAGAAGGACUUAGAUGAGUGUGUGAGACUGUGGAACAGUCACAGGAUUCGCCCUUCCAGAACAGCAGCAUGUCCAGGAGGAGUGCCCAAUGAACUCUACUACUUACCACACAGGUUUGGUUCCAGAGACUGUGCAUUUCCAAUUCAACAGGCUGAAUUGGAUGCCCUUCCUGAGGCUAGCCUGUUCAUUACUCCUUGUGGGGACCCAAACAUGCAGGAGUACUUGGACUUUGCCAUGGACCACAAUCAGUUACUGAAGCCAGAAAACUGGGAGUCUGCAUCAGAACUGUACAUGAUUCUAAAAGAAAUGGCUCGGCUAUGAAAGGAUCAAAAAGGGAGUUUUUAUUGUAGUGGUGGAACACUGUCUGAACACAAUGUUUACGAAUCUGUCACCCACAGCUUUGCUGUUUAAGUGUAAAGUAAAUUAAUCAAAAAUAGUAAUGUUUAUUAAAAUUUUGUAGUAAAGAACAACUUCUUUAAGUACUUCUUUAUCUAAA